This is a small nucleolar RNA of Rattus norvegicus (Norway rat), 129 nucleotides long. Ensembl annotates it as small nucleolar RNA SNORA17. Lineage: Eukaryota; Metazoa; Chordata; Mammalia; Rodentia; Muridae. The record is from Ensembl.
CUUGCCCUGAAAAGUAUUGAAAGUGUAGCUACUCUAUCACAUGAGUACCCAAUGUCAUGGAAAAGAGAGGCUAUGUCUACCCUCAGUGUUCUAACCUAUGACCAUUGGAAUGACUACUAGCCUAACAUU